Molecule: ribosomal RNA, 440 nt
Filed under: uncultured bacterium
Lineage: Bacteria
Description: partial 16S ribosomal RNA
Rfam family: Bacterial small subunit ribosomal RNA
Source: RNAcentral
CCUACGGGCGGCAGCAGUGGGGGAUAUUGCACAAUGGGGGAAACCCUGAUGCAGCGAUGCCGCGUGAAUGAAGACGGCCUUCGGGUUGUAAAGUUCUGUCGCAGGGGACGAAAAUGACGGUACCCUGCAAGAAAGCUCCGGCUAACUACGUGCCAGCAGCCGCGGUAAUACGUAGGGGGCAAGCGUUAUCCGGAUUUACUGGGUGUAAAGGGAGCGUAGACGGCGAUGCAAGUCUGAAGUGAAAGGCGGGGGCCCAACCCCCGGACUGCUUUGGAAACUGUAUGGCUGGAGUGCAGGAGAGGUAAGUGGAAUUCCUAGUGUAGCGGUGAAAUGCGUAGAUAUUAGGAGGAACACCAGUGGCGAAGGCGGCUUACUGGACUGUAACUGACGUUGAGGCUCGAAAGCGUGGGGAGCAAACAGGAUUAGAUACCCUAGUAGUC